This 502-nucleotide ribosomal RNA is filed under the name uncultured bacterium. Its description in RNAcentral is "bacterial SSU rRNA". It matches the Rfam family "Bacterial small subunit ribosomal RNA", at positions 791 to 1284 of the family's 1533-position model. The record is from RNAcentral.
UAGUCCACGCAGUAAACGAUGAUCACUAGGUGUUAGAGUGGGGCUUGCCCUGUUCUAGUGUCGAAGCUAACGCGUUAAGUGAUCCGCCUGAGUAGUACGGUCGCAAGACUAAAAUUCAAAGGAAUUGACGGGGGCCCGCACAAGCGGUGGAACAUGUGGUUUAAUUCGAUAAUACGCGAGAAACCUUACCUGGGCUUGACAUACAUAUGCCUGACUAUGAAAGUAGUUUUCUCAAGCUUGCUUGAGCAUUUGAACAGGUGCUGCAUGGCUGUCGUCAGCUCGUGUCGUGAGAUGUUAGGUUAAGUCCUUUAACGAGCGAAACCCUUGUCGUUAGUUGCUAGCACUUAAUGUGCAGGACUCUAGCGAGACUGCCUGAGAAAUCAGGAGGAAGGUGGGGAUGACGUCAAGUCCUCAUGGCCCUUAUGUCCAGGGCUACACACGUGUUACAAUGGGUAGUACAAAGAGAAGCUAAGCCGAAAGGUGGCGCCAAUCUAAAAAGCUA